Eleginops maclovinus (Patagonian blennie) is the source of this 3063-nucleotide RNA transcript. It is a transcript of the gene named ATP-binding cassette, sub-family F (GCN20), member 2b, with no coding region annotated. The record is from RefSeq and is a predicted model, not a curated record. The transcript has 15 exons. NCBI's taxonomy places the organism in Eukaryota, Metazoa, Chordata, Actinopteri, Perciformes, Eleginopidae.
GAACAUUUUACUGCAGUCCCACGAGAAGGGGAGGUAACAUCCAUUCUCACCGCCCUCUUUGACCAUAUAUGGACUGUCUGGCGGUUCUACAUCCACCCGGCAAAAGUGGACACGAGACAUCGGUGUGCUCCAGAGACCAGUAAUUCAUUUUCUAGGCUUUCACAACCAUGCCAUCCGACUUAGCCAAGAAGAAGGCAGCGAAGAAGAAGGAGGCUGCCAAAGGUCGCGGGCGUACCAAGAAAACUGAUGGACUAGAGGAUGGUGAUCAACCAGAGACCCAGUCUAAUGGAGCACAGAGCAAUGGGAUUGCCAGUUUAACAAAGGAGCUGGAUGAAUUUGAACUGGCAAAGACCGAGGCGCGGGCUGUGACAGGUGUUCUGUCGUCACACCCCAACAGCACUGAUGUCCACGUUAGCAGCCUGUCGCUCACCUUCCAUGGUCAAGAACUGCUUUCAGACACCAGCUUGGAGCUCAACUCAGGCAGACGCUAUGGACUCAUUGGCCUGAAUGGCACAGGAAAAUCCAUGUUGCUGUCUGCCAUUGGGGCUCGUGAGAUCCCCAUUCCAGAGCACAUCGAUAUUUACCACUUGACCCGGGAGAUGGCCCCCAGCGAAAAGACUGCUCUGUACUGCGUCAUGGAGGUGGAUGAACAGAGGAUUAUGCUGGAGAAGGAGGCAGAGAGACUUGCCUCUGAGGACUCCGAGUGUGAGAAGCUGAUGGAGCUGUACGAGCGUCUCGAGGAGUUGGACGCAGCCAAGGCAGAGGUGCGGGCGUCUCGGAUCCUCCACGGUUUGGGUUUCACACCUGAAAUGCAGCAGAAGCAACUGAAGGACUUCAGCGGAGGAUGGAGGAUGCGAGUUGCUCUGGCCAGAGCCCUGUUCAUCAAACCAUUCAUGCUGUUGCUGGAUGAGCCCACCAACCACUUGGAUCUGGACGCUUGUGUGUGGUUGGAGGAGGAGCUCAGUUCGUUCAAGCGAAUCCUUGUGCUUGUCUCACACUCCCAAGACUUCCUGAACGGUGUGUGCACAAACAUAAUCAACCUGCACUUGAAAAAGCUGAAGAACUACACGGGUAACUAUGACCAGUAUAUCAAGACCAGAGAGGAGCUGGAAGAGCACCAGAUGAAGCGCUUCAACUGGGAACAGGACCAGAUCACACACAUGAAGAAUUACAUUGCCAGGUUUGGUCACGGCUCUGCAAAGCUUGCUCGACAGGCUCAGAGCAAAGAGAAGACGCUGCAGAAGAUGGUGGCCUCAGGCUUGACUGAAAAAGUUGUGAAUGACAAGACUCUGUCAUUCGUUUUUCCUCCCUGUGGGAAGAUUCCUCCUCCUGUUAUCAUGGUUCAGAAUGUGAGCUUCAAAUACAGUGACGAUGCACCGCACAUAUACACAAACCUGGAGUUUGGUAUUGACUUGGAUACACGAGUGGCUCUCGUGGGGCCCAAUGGAGCAGGAAAGUCUACACUGCUGAAGCUGCUGAUGGGAGAGCUACUUCCCACCGAUGGCAUGAUCCGUAAAAAUUCUCACGUGAAGAUUGGCAGAUAUCACCAGCAUCUGACAGAGCAGCUGGAGCUGGACCUGUCUCCUUUGGAGUACAUGAUGAAAUGUUACCCUGGUAUCAAAGAGAAAGAGGAGAUGAGGAAGAUCAUUGGUCGCUACGGGCUGACAGGGCAAACAGCAGGUCAGUCCGAUCAGGAACUUGUCAGAUGGUCAGAAGUGCCGGGUGUGUUUUGCCUGGCUGGCCUGGCAGACCCCUCACAUGCUGUUCCUUGACGAGCCCACCAAUCACUUGGAUAUCGAGACGAUCGACGCGUUGGCAGAAGCCAUCAACGAGUUUGACGGCGGCAUGAUGCUAGUUAGCCACGACUUCAGGCUAAUUCAGCAGGUGGCUAAAGAGAUCUGGGUGUGUGAGCACCAAAAAAUCACAAAGUGGAAUAGGGACAUCCUGGCCUACAAGGAGCACUUGAAAAAGAAGAUCGACAAAUCAGCGCAUGACAUCUAAAGAAAGGUCCCUCAGAGCCACUCCUUUUAUCUCAUCAUGGAUUAACCUGCCAGCUCCUGAAGGAAUGAGCAGGGUUUACAUUGGAAGCAAAUGUCAUAAACUAGAACUGAAACUAUCUCUUAUGCAUCUUAUUGGACAUGUCUCUUGUACAUGUUGUACUGUAAUUCCAUCUCGGUCCAACCACCUUCCCCAUCCCACUGCACUCUGAUUGGCUGAUUCACCUGAAGCAUCUCGGUGCAUUUUGGAAUGCAUUCCAUUGUGCUGUCUUCAUAGAAAAGUUUUAUUUUUCCGAAUGUUCUGUUUUAUCCCAACUUGUAUGCAGCAGCUUUUUAGGUCAUAUCUAAUGAUAUUUAAAAGUUACUUUUUUUUUUUUCCCCUGUGUAAAAGAGCAGUUCGGCCUUAUUUAACGAUGUAAUGCAAUAAAGGUUUGUCUGAAUAAACGGAACAUAAAAACAGUAUAUUCAGCUUCAGAUAAUAUUUUUAUUACACAUAAUGGAUACAGUGCUCGUAUCCAAAAAUCAAAAGCCUUUCGGGAAAAUAAACUAUUUUACAUCUCUGUAAACAUAGGACAGAACUUGAUAGAAGUGAUUAAAAGAAGUUGCUUUGGAUUCUGGCUGCAUAGACUCCACGGUACACUGCUGACCCCGUCCUUCAUGUCACUGGAAAUGUCUGGGCUGUCCAAAAAAUAUUGGCAAAACGAACACUGAUAAGAGAUUAAUCUGCCCUUUUUAAACUUUAAUGAAUCGAAUGCAUUAUUUGGAUGCAUUUUCAGAGUUUUAGGGGACCUCUGGUUUGUAAACAUCAAUACAGGUGAUGACACUGUCAUUAUACACUCUUACAGUCAAGCUGUGUGCAUGUCAAAUAAGAAUGGGAUCAUGUAACGCAGAGGUAUGGCUCGAUUGCCGCCAACACGACGACAAUAUGGUCAGUUUCUCAUUUCAGAGAGGAGAAGAAAAAUGUGUUUUUGAAAUACUGUAUCACACUUGUCUAUUUGAACAGGAAGUGUAUAUAACAUACCGACUCCAACAUUUGUUGUUUAAAAAUAAAACAAAUACAACCAUU